GGCCCUUAUGGGUAGGGCUUCACACGUCAUACAAUGGUCGGUACAGAGGGUUGCCAAGCCGCGAGGCGGAGCCAAUCCCACAAAGCCGAUCGUAGUCCGGAUUGUUCUCUGCAACUCGAGAGCAUGAAGUCGGAAUCGCUAGUAAUCGCAGGUCAGCAUACUGCGGUGAAUACGUUCCCGGGUCUU
RNAcentral lists this ribosomal RNA (186 nucleotides) under uncultured Thiobacillus sp. RNAcentral's name for it is "partial 16S ribosomal RNA". It matches the Rfam family "Bacterial small subunit ribosomal RNA", at positions 1197 to 1382 of the family's 1533-position model. The record is from RNAcentral. Lineage: Bacteria; Pseudomonadati; Pseudomonadota; Betaproteobacteria; Nitrosomonadales; Thiobacillaceae.